CACAAGACCAGUGUGGGCAGAAGAGGAAUUCCCCAGCUUAGAUUUCAUUGGCACUGUUUCCACUCCCACGGUGGAGGGAGUGGAGUUCAUUGUUGGCUUCUGAUAAACUUCCUAAUUAAUCCAUCUGAGAUCAGGGGCAGACUAAUAGGAGACUGUGCCUUUCGGUGUUUGCAAGGCAGAAAUGAGUCUUGCCUCUGGGUGGGCUUCUGAUGCCUGCACAGCUGCUUCCUUUACAGCAGGGAUGGGAAGCUGUAUGCAGCCUUCCAGGCCUCUUUAUUCAGCACUCAAGUUUCUCCCCAGGCUACACCCUUCAUUGGUUCUCCUCUGGACCUUCCUUGAGUGCUUGGCCUUGGAUGGAAUGUGCCCUUGAACACUGGUGCCCAUUUGGACUGCUAGGGUGGAAUGCAGGAGCCACAGCCAAUGACAGGCUGCAUACCGACUGGUUGAAAGAAAGAAGACAGACUGAGAUUGGUGCGGCAGUGGCUCAUUCGCCCAAACAGACCACCCUCCACUGAAGGCUGAACUGUGAUGAUGUCUCUGGAGGGAUGUGUGGCCAGAACUCAGUUCCAGCACUUCUUAGGUGGGCACCAUUGCCAUUAUAAGAGAACAAGGUUCAUGGUAAUUUGUCUCUGAUAUACUUUUUGGUUCUGGAUUACUGUCAUAAACUGCUGUUUUAUUGAUAAUUGGGCUCGAUUCCAUUCAGCCACGAACUGCAUUCUGCCAUCAAUUGCCCCAGUCAGCAUGGACCUCAUCCUUGAUGGAUGGACAAUCUUCUACAUCAGAGGAGGCCCACCAGAGGUCACUGAACCACAACUCCCAUAAUUCCUCACCAUUGGCUUGGAGGGACCAAAAGAAGCUGACAUCUAACAAACAUCUGGAGAGCCACAAUAUCCUUAUCCUUGGCCCAGAGGUACUGAAAGCUGUGGUGAACCAUAGGAACCCUCCAUCUCAUUUGUUCUGUUUUAUAUUUCUGAUUUUUGUACAGAGAGUUCAUGCAGUGCUCUGAAAAACAUAAAACAGUGGAGGAUUCACAAUGUAUUGGGUCCAUUUUGAAAAGAAGUCCAGAUAAACUAGAAGCAUAAAACCCAGACAGAAAUUAGGAUGAUGUGGAUUAAUUUCAGGAACAUCCCCACUGGAUACCAAAUGUACCUUGUAGCAUUUUGAUAGUCGCUCACUGCUCACAGGGAUGGGUAACCCAGGAUAUGCACUUGCCAGGAAGAGACGCCAUUAAGGACUGUAAUUUGUUGAUCCAGCCUCCGCUGGCAUUUCAGCAGUGAGAGUGGCACUGUUUUCUUUAUGACCUCAUAAAGUCACAGCCGAGAGGCCGAUUUAGAAAACAAACUGCCUCAGGUUGACAGAUAAUUAGAUACAGGGGACAUAUUAUAUGCCUUUGCAUAUAAAUGCUCUCCGAAGCCCGUUGGUUCAUCAGAAGUUUAGGUUAAAGGAGAAGCAGGUAUUCCAGACGCAUCAGGGUGUAUUUUCUGAUGCACUUUAAGACGAUGGCUUAUAGCACCUUCAUCUUAAUGUCGUCUGUGGAACAUUGUCAGCACAACUGCGCUUUGUGAAUGGUCCUGGCUUGUUUUAUUUCUGCUUUGGUAUUUACCCGUCAGCCUUUUUUGCUAGUGAGAGAAGCAGAAGAAAGGAGGGGAGUUAACAUCCCUGGAAAUGGUCAAUGUCUCUCCCCAGCCCCAUGUCUUUUAGCAAGAAGUCCCUAUCACUUCAAUGUCAUGUUUGUACCUUUAAGGGUAUGGACAUUUUAGGGUCCUUUUGGCCUAAGGUGUUCAAGGUACAUGGUGCUUUUCAAUUAGCUAUUCUUUGGUGUGGGACAAUGACAGAGAAUAUGAAAAGGUAGUGUGAGCUUUAAGAAGAAGGUGGGCGAUAAGAAGAUCAGAUCUCCUGACUUUUUUUUUUAAAGAAAGAUUAAAAUCAUUGGUGGGAUGGGGCUUUGAUUUUGGAUGGAAAGCAUUGCUAGGGCUGACAUGUGCAAUGCAAUAUGGAACUUUAUUCAUCUGAAUUUCCCUUCCCAAAGCUAUUAGCCUCCCAGAGGAAAAAUAUGCAGGCAGGCUACAGGUGUCCCCCCCCACUUGUGGAGCUAAAAGAUGGUUUCGUUUAUUAAAUAAAUAUUGUUUAAAAACACUUUUAUGCUCAGAAUCCUGAGAACUGUAGUUUGUUAAGGGUGUUUGGGCCUUAAGGUUCCAAGGAUCCUUUGAAGAAAAUCAUGACAGGUAAUGGUGAUCUAAGGCUGCCUUAAAUGGAGGGUGUAGAUAUAUUCUACUCCCCCAGGUUUCAACUGCUAAAGGAGGGGAGGGGAACCUCCAGCCUGCAGGCCUCCUUAGACCUCCCGGGUUGUCUGCUUGGCCCUUUGGGUCAUUUUAGCCAAACCACACCCACCUGCCCUGCACCUGGUGUUCAUAUGAUGUCAAGAACAGGGCAGGUAAAUAUCGGGUCACCUGAUGUCAUUGUGAUUGUCGCCUGUCAAACGUGGUCCAUGAAGGUGGGUUGGGGAGAUCCGGAGCCAGUUCCCCACCCCUGUGCCAGGAAGCAGGGAGGUGACGAAUCCUGCCGAUUAGUAAAUCUAGCAAUCCCAAGUAGCAAUUUGUGAGCAAAAGGCAAAGCAAAAACUGGGACAAAAGAGGAGCGAUGAUUUAUGGCACAUGGGCAGAUUUGAGAACAUAGAGACAAUGAGAGCAUCUUGCCUCCCAGUCCCUUUCCCACACCAAAGAUGUGACUCAGGCUGGGUCCUCGCAUGAUUCAAUGAGCCUGGGGCCCGAUCUUCCGCCCGGUCCUCCAAGUUGCAGAGAAGGCCCCGGGGUCCUUUGCUCACACCCCUUGAGAUGAGUCCGGGCUUUAAGGGGAGGAGCGGAGAAGAAGCAACGAGAACCAAAAGUGCUGCGCUGUGUGGAUUAUUGUGUGUUUGUCAUCCAGAAUGGUAUAAGCUGUAGGUACAGCAUCUCUUGGCGGUGAUUUAUGGUCCCUGUCAGCCAGCACCAGCGCUUUGUCUGCCGUAGCGUGGAGGAUGAAUGCAGCGCUGUCAGCCCAGGCAGGGCAGUCUUUUUCCUCUCUCUGCUCCGCACACUCGCUCCCAUUUCAUGCCACUGAACAUAAACAAUCUUUUGUAAACCUGACAGUCACACUUACUUCUUUGGGAACAUAAAGCAGAAAUGUAUGACUCGGUUUUCAUUACCCAAUUUCCGCGGCUCUAUAGCAAACGCACUUGGGGAGCCAGCAGCCAAAAGGAGGGGAAAGGAGUGUUCACAGUGAGUAAGGAGGGGGAGGGAGGGAAUAGUCAUUGUCCGCUGCCUUCUUAUGCAUACCUCCAUGCACAAACAAUUGAUCUUCUUCCCUGCAUUGCUUUGUGUAUGUUCGCUGUGCACACGGUGCAUUUAAAAUUAGUGGCUUCAUUGUGCUGGUGUAAUGUUUUUGCCUCCGACGGCUGCUCUUUCCUACUUGUGUUUUCUGUACAGCCCGAUGUGUCAGAAACAUUUUUCUGCCCAAGAAAAAUGGGCAGCCUUUUGGGGAAUGUAGACCAGUAGUGGGUGGGGCCAGAUUCAAAAGUAGGUGGAGCAAUGGUGCUCAUACCUUUGUACAGGAAGCUGCACCCCGCCCAUGCUAAACGUCUGAGGUUUCCAUAUGGACACACCUCCCUCUGUAUCCCACCUAAACAAGCCAAAUGAAUCCUCACAUUUCAAGGACACUUUCCAGCCACACAGAAACAUUUGAGGAUGGCCAGUACGGUGUGACUAGAGGGAAGUGGGGUGUCCAAGAGAGACUCCCAGUGGCCAGGCAGAGGGGCCUGGAGGGCUGCAUUUGAAAGCAUUUGGCUGUUUGAGGAAUUUGCUCCUCAUGAAUUCCAGUAUGAACUGUCACGGUCUGUACCUCCAGACAGAUGAGCUGAUUGGAACUUAUGUAUCAAAUGACUUCUGAAUUUCACAGAUGUUCCAGUGUUGUUUUCAGCUAAAGAGGUCUCAGUGUGCUUUCAGAAAUGUGUGUAUUUUGAGAGAAGUUUAUUUGGGAUACAGAUAUUUAGGAAUAUGUAUUUGAGUGUGUAUGUUUCUGCAAAUUUUCCUUCUUUUUUUUAAAAAACCACAGUUCAGUGCAGAAUUGGGGUGGAAUUGAUUCAAAAGUGUGGAAGUUAUAUGGACAAAAAAAAAAACACCAUACUGAGGCCGCAAUCCAAGCCCCCACUUAUGCCAUUUUAUGGGGGGGGGGCGCACUGGAUUGACCAGCCUCCUGCCAGGUGGUAUUCUGCGCCCAAGUCAUGUAUUUAUUUAAUAUUUAUUUCAACACUAUAAAUACCACUUAAUUGAAAGUGUCUCUCAGUGGUGUACAGUAACUUAUAGAAUCAUCUAGUCCAACCCCUGCAAUGCAGGAAUCACAGCGAACACAAUACUGUAGAAAUCAGAUAGACCUAUCAAAUCAAAAGUUAGUUAAAAUGCAGGGUUUUAAACACACAGAUGAGCCCCUUGAAUUGGGCUUGGAACAGGCAACCAGUGCAGCUGCUUCAGGACAGGCUUGAUGCUUCCACUGGCGGAGGAAGAGGGGUGCAGGGGGAGCGCACCACCCCCCGGCAGCAUGGUCCCGGUGGGGUGCCAUUGUGGCUGCCCCCCGCCCACGCUGGGCACCACAGCUCUGCAGGCGGCGUGUCACACCCCCAGGACACAUGUCACGCCCCUGCGGGCAGCGCGCCACGCUCCCGGGACAUGCACCAGCCCCACCUCGCCUGCUCUCCGCCUCCCAGUGCCAGAGCAUGAAGCUCCGCCACUGCAUGCUUCUCCCAGCCAGACAUCUCACCCAACAUCUGGGGAGUGGCAAUCUGCACUUCUUGUAGUCUACGAACCAUCUUCAAAAGUGGCAUCAAUUGUAUUGCAAUAGUCCAGGCACGUCCAACUCACAAGACAUUGAUCUACUCACAGAUCGACCAGGAUCGACCAGAGGCACCCAGCAAUGACCAGUAGAUCACGACCAACCUGUUGCACAUUUCUGCAGGUUGUCAGAACAUGGGCUACAGUGUCCAAGUCAUUCCUAUUCUGAAAGGGCUGUUGCUGACUUUAUAGCCAGAGUUGGAAAUUUAUUUCUGAAGCUGGAAUUAAGGGAUAACCAUCCAGCAACUAUGGCACAAUGGUUUGCUGCUUACAAAUAAAAGCAGAAAACAAGGAACUGAUCGGAUCAUCCUUCUACCCCUGCCUUUAAUUUAUUGGUAAAUAGUCAAAUAUGAAAGCUCAAGUAUACAAACUUAAGUUCUUCCAGUCUUCCUUUCCUCACGAUUCUUUUCUUCUCCAGCACAUUGAUAUUCUACUGGAAGGUUCUUGAAUGUUGAUUAAGAGUUAAUGAACUGAGAAGGAAAAAUGAAUAAAUAAACAAAUAAAUAAAUGAAAAGAACUCUGAAUAUACAGUGAAAUAUAUUAAUGCAUAGAAGCAAUAUAUAAUAAUGAUACACUAAAAAAAUGUAAACAUAAAAUAAUAUACGGCUGAAAAAUCAAAGUGUUUUAAACUCUGUUUUUAUUGCUGUUUUUUAAAUGAAUAGUUUAUACCAUUUUAUGUAAACUGCUUAGAGAUUUUUAUUAUUAUUUUUAUUAAGUGGUAUAUAAAUCUUAUUAAAGCAAUGAAAUAAAUAAAAAUAUACAAUUACUUGGCAGGGAUAUAAGCAAACGGUUGGAUCAAGGUUUUCUCACUAAGCCUACAGGCAGAGAGGAGGAGAAUGGCCUUUAUGGGGUCAAUGCACAUAUAAUUUACAUUGCCUGGGUACGUCAUAAUCCUAAUGCUCUUUCAGAUGACAAGUGCUUCCAUUCGGUAUUGGCAGUCUAUGUUAGCAGCAGUUAUGCAUUCACGUACAGAGAGUCAGGCCCCCAGCUUCACGAUACAUUUAAAUAGAGCCAGCUCACCCAUGAGGCAAGGUGAGGCAGUUGUCUCAGGGCAGCAAACUCAGGAAAGCCGGGAGGGGUGACAGAUCCAGCCUCCGUGAGCCUGAUAUUUUCCAUCCACGUUCUAACCCAUCACCCUUAACAAACUACAAUUCCCAGGGGAGCCACUUUUGGGUUCGCCUCAAGCAACAAAUUGUCUUGGGCUGACCCUGCAUUUAAAACUGUAUCAUAUCAUUAUAGACAGUCAUGGCUUUCCACCAAGAAUCCUGGGAACUGUAGCUUGUUUUGGGUGCUGUGAAUGGCUAGGAGACCCUUAUUCCUCCCACAGAGCUGCAAUUCUCAGAAUGGUUUAAUUCAAUUUUCCAAUCAUCAGUUUGUGAUUAUUAUUUUUAAGUUCCUGAUGAAAAUUCAUCAACUUCUUAAUGCAUUUUUUCCAAUAUACACCUGAUUCUAUGCAAUUUAGCUUAAUAUGCACCACCCCCUUGUAUGCUAUUUUCACUAAUAUAUGCAUUUUAACGCACACUUUAGGCUAGUAUAUGCAUUUUUUCAUGCCUGUGCAGAGCUUGUCUGAGGCCGGGGUGAGAGUCUUGUUAGAAUAAAGUUAUAAACUCAAACAAAAAUGUAGCCGGCCCGUGGCAGGCCUCCUGGACUGGCUUAGCCCUCCAAGGGUCAGGGCAAAUGUACCCAGCUGCCCCCUCCCUACAUGGCCCUGUGUUCAUGUACACAUUACUUGACUGGAAAAUUGUGUUGCAAACUUCGGAGACAUGUGAAUUUCAAGGAAUGGCUGUGUUUUGGUUCAUGUAUUAUUUCAGAAGAUGUGAAUUAGGCAGAUCUGCCUUGAAAUGUGAAGUGAACUGAAUUUAUCCCCCAUCCCUAGCAGAACGGAAUCGGCUUUUAUCUUUGGCUGCUCUUUCUAUCCUUGGGAAGUUACAGCCUUUGCCGCACCUGCAAGAACAGCAUUAUCCUCGGCCUUCAAUGGUGAGGUCUCCUAUAUACACAUGGACUAAGUAAUGAUUCCUUUCUAUCUUUCAUAUCUGGAUUUAAGAGCACCCUGGAGCUACAAAGUUUAUUAGAGCUCAUAAGAAGAAUUGUACCAUAAAUGGGACAACCACAGCUAUAAACCCACACCUUAGAGUUUGCAACAAAUCUUGAAACACUGAACCAGGACACUCUUGUUGCUGUCAGCAAAAAGAAGAAGAAAAGAUGGCAGGGAGGAAGAAUAGCAAAGCAAUACCCAGUGGGAAUCAAUAACAACAGCUACUGCCACUAAUAAAAAAUAACUGGACUAUUCAGACAUUCCCUGUGAAGAAUAUACAUAAAAUGGGGCUAGCUCAGACAUUGCCCUUCAUGUAAUAUGAGCAUGUUCAUAGUGAUGUUUAAAUUAGGACUGGGGUGAAAGUGAAAGGGCCUGGAGUGCAGAUUGCAAGCAGGGAAAACUUUUGCUGAUCUGACAAGCAAUUAGCAGAGUGUGGGAUGUGGAGCUGCAGAGAGGCAAGCAUCUACAUUAGAUUGCGUCCUCAGGUGUUAUUUGACUCCAAUUCCCAUCAGCCCCAGGCAGCAUGGUCAACUGUCGGGGUGAUGGGAGUUGUAGUCCAACAACAUUUGGGGUCUCAAGGUUGAAGAGUGCUGUGCUGCAUCAAGGAUGGAGAAUCUGAAAUCACCCAUUUGUUGGACUCCAACUUCCAUCAGUCCCACUCUACAUAGUUAAUGGUCAAGGAUGAUGGGAGUUGCAGUCCAAAAACAUCUGGUGGCCCACAUGUUCCCUGCCUCUGACCUACAUCUUUUCAGAUACAGGUAGUAGGAACUGGACCUCUGCGCCAAACUACAAUACAAACUGACUUGAUCCUCCCAGAUGAAUGGAGUUUCCCCCUUCUAAAUAUUCUGACACAAUUCUCAGUUUAAAAGACCUCAAAUCUUAAAGCUGGACCCACAGUUGCAACCAAAAUUCAUGGAUGUUAAAGUUGGGGAGACAAUGUUGUCCUCUAUCUGGACAGAGUCUAUGACAUCAUCAUGUAAUAGGGUUGCUACCUUUGUUGCAAAAUAUAGGGCAGGGCAGGGCGGUUGGUGGACAAUUUCUUUUUUCAUCUGGUGCUGAAGUGACUUCAAAGGAACCCAGUACAAUCUAUUGCAAC
Non-coding RNA from Zootoca vivipara (common lizard), 7993 nucleotides. NCBI's taxonomy places the organism in Eukaryota, Metazoa, Chordata, Lepidosauria, Squamata, Lacertidae. The record is from RefSeq and is a predicted model, not a curated record.